GCAUCGAUUUGUGGAUAUAAUGUGUAUUCUGUGAUGAAAUGUGGAUAUUCAUGUGAUACAUAAUCUAUUUUUGUUGAAUAUAUAAUGCAUGUGCCGUUAAUUAUGAAAAAACUAAAAAAACAAAAAACAAUUCCCAGCUUUGCCGAGUGUGGCACUCGGCAAAGGUGACCAUUGCACUCGGCAAAGCUGGGCACAAUGAAGUGGCUCGGCC
Molecule: long non-coding RNA, 211 nt
Filed under: Sorghum bicolor (sorghum)
Lineage: Eukaryota; Viridiplantae; Streptophyta; Magnoliopsida; Poales; Poaceae
Description: long non-coding RNA (SBIC_LNC017223)
Source: RNAcentral